This 707-nucleotide small RNA is filed under the name Pan troglodytes (chimpanzee). Its description in RNAcentral is "processed transcript". Lineage: Eukaryota; Metazoa; Chordata; Mammalia; Primates; Hominidae. The record is from RNAcentral.
AAUGCCUUCAACCCUUCCUGCAGAAACUAUAAGGAGCUGCUGUGAAGUCUAAGAUUUGAUGACUGCUGCAAGGGUUAGUUUUCACUUCUUGGAAAGAGGAAUUCACCAUGGCUUUUGCCUCUGGACCUUUCCAACCUCACAAACCGAAACAUUUGUACUUCACUACUUCUUGCCUUUGACCAGCUAUAGAUGGAUACGUUGGAACCAUUCGGGGAUGAAUUCAGCGGAAUGGCCAGAUGCCCAUAUGAUGCCAAACAUGCCAACGUUGCACUGUUUGCAGAUGGAAAACUAUACUCAGCCACAGUGACUGACUUCCUUGCCAUUGACGCAGUCAUUUACCGGAGUCUUGGAGAAAGCCCUACCCUGCGGACCGUCAAGCAUGAUUCAAAAUGGUUGAAAGAACCAUACUUUGUUCAAGCUGUGGAUUACGGAGAUUAUAUCUACUUCUUCUUCAGGGAAAUAGCAGUGGAGUAUAACACCAUGGGAAAGGUAGUUUUCCCAAGAGUGGCUCAGGUUUGUAAGAAUGAUAUGGGAGGAUCUCAAAGAGUCCUGGAGAAACAGUGGACGUCGUUCCUGAAGGCGCGCUUGAACUGCUCAGUUCCUGGAGACUCUCAUUUUUAUUUCAACAUUCUCCAGGCAGUUACAGAUGUGAUUCGUAUCAACGGGCGUGAUGUUGUCCUGGCAACGUUUUCUACACCUUAUAACAG